Molecule: ribosomal RNA, 505 nt
Filed under: uncultured bacterium
Lineage: Bacteria
Description: partial 16S ribosomal RNA
Rfam family: Bacterial small subunit ribosomal RNA
Source: RNAcentral
GACGAACGCUGGCGGCGUGCCUAAUACAUGCAAGUAGAACGCACAGUUUAUACCGUAGCUUGCUACACCAUAAACUGUGAGGUGCGAACGGGUGAGUAACGCGUAGGUAACCUGCCUGGUAGCGGGGGAUAACUAUUGGAAACGAUAGCUAAUACCGCAUAAUAUUAAUUAUUGCAUGAUAAUUGAUUGAAAGAUGCAAUUGCAUCACUACCAGAUGGACCUGCGUUGUAUUAGCUAGUAGGUGAGGUAACGGCGUACCUAGGCGACGAUACAUAGCCGACCUGGGAGGGUGGUCGGCCACCCUGGGACUGGGACCCGGCCCAGACUCCUUCGGGAGGCAGCAGUAGGGAAUCUUCGGCAAUGGACGGAAGUCUGACCGAGCAACGCCGCGUGAGUGAAGAAGGUUUUCGGAUCGUAAAGCUCUGUUGUAAGGGGAGAACGGGUGUGAGAGUGGAAAGUUCACACUGUGACGGUAUCUUACCAGAAAGGGACGGCUAACUACGUG